This 476-nucleotide ribosomal RNA is filed under the name uncultured eukaryote. RNAcentral describes it as "eukaryotic LSU rRNA". It matches the Rfam family "Eukaryotic large subunit ribosomal RNA", at positions 2343 to 2773 of the family's 3401-position model. The record is from RNAcentral.
CCCUAUCUACCAUCUAGCGAACCCACUGCCAAGGGAACGGGGCUUGGAACGAUCAGCGGGGAAAGAAGACCCUGUUGAGCUUGACUCUAGUCCGACUUUGUGAAAUGUCUUUGGAGGUGUAGCAUAGGUGGGAGAAGCAAUUCGACUUUGAAAUACCACUACUCUGAAUGAUGUUUUGCUUAUUUGAUCAAGUCAAAGUGCUUGAUUGCAUUUCAUGUGAUUAGCAAUAGUUAUGUGAGAUGCAGCUAAAUCAACUAUUUCUAUGACCAAGCAGUUUCUUGUGAUUCUGCGAUUGUUGUCAAAAACAUAGUCAGAUGGGGAGUUUGGCUGGGGCGGCACAUCCUCUAUACAAUAACGAGGGUGUCCAAAGAUGAGCUCAAUGAGAACAGAAAUCUCGUGUCGAGUAAAAGGGCAAAAGCUCAUUUCAUGUGCAUUUUCAGUACGAAUACACACUGUGAAAGCAUGGCCUAUCGAUC